CACAUGUCUGACGCUGUCUGGAGAGAGCUGGGUGUGAUCCAGGGUUGACGGGAGGUGUCUGGUUUACAAGGGUAACUUGGAGUCUGUAUUUGCUGAAAAUCCACAGGAUACAUGAAACAAAACAUCAUUUCCUGCUUCUUUGCACCAACAAAUAGUUCAGUAGCUGUGGGCACAGCGUCUGUCUGUCUGCUCCUCCGUGCCAUCUGCAAGGCAUCACCCUGCCAGCUUUCUGGACCAGCUGCGGGGACGGAGAAUUUAAGCACACGAUGUCGGUGUUGAGUAACCGUCUGCGCAGAAGAUCUUGUGGUGAACCGGGUCACGUUGCUGUGGACGUUUGGUUCAGACGCAGAGGAUUCCAAGCUUCUGCGCUGGAACGACUUCAGUGCUGCGAGAAUUGAAGCACUUGCCUCUUGGCGCUUUCCAAUCCCUCUUUCCCGUGCACCAGUUUGGUGACCUCAGCGGCCAGACGUUUGUGAGCGAUCCGCCGGCCCGGGUCUUCCCUCUGCUGUUCCAUCAC
Paramisgurnus dabryanus is the source of this 517-nucleotide long non-coding RNA. RefSeq lists it as uncharacterized. Lineage: Eukaryota; Metazoa; Chordata; Actinopteri; Cypriniformes; Cobitidae. The record is from RefSeq and is a predicted model, not a curated record.